GUUGCAGUUGUCUUUAUGAAACCUGGGAUCUGGAAACAAGAAGUGGCAAUGAAAGGACAUUUUGUUUUAAACUUGGGAUCUAAAAACAACAAAAAGAGGCAAUAUUUGAAAGCAUUUAAAGGACAUUCAUGCAUUAAGCGCGGCUGCUUACAUUUCUUCCACGAAGACAGUCUCCUUCUUCCAAUGACUUUAACCCCCUCCCUGAACUGGUUGCCUGGAAACAAUGUUUCCAGAUGGUGGCGGGAAACAGAAUACAAGGUGUCCUGCAUUUCGACCAGGUUGCUGUGAAAUAAAAAAAAAAAAAAAAACUAUAAGAUUGGAAUUAGCUCAAUUUAGAGACUAUGAGGUACACAUAUUUAGUGGAAGUUUCAAUAUAUGAACACAAAUCUGGAUUUUAUACCAUUGGAUUAUUAUUUAGAUAAGUUGUUUAUACAUUUAUAACAAUUGUCGUUUUUUUAUUUGCAUGUCUGAUCAACUUAUUGGGGACAAUAAUAACACUGGAUUGGACUUGCUUAAGUUGCUUAACAUGAAACCGGGCAAUGUUACAACUUUAAAUAUUGCAUUUUUUGUACAGUGGACCCAUGCAGCUAUAAAAUAGGACAAAAACCCCUGUUGUAUGCAAAUCAUUAAUACACUCCUUCAGGCUUUUGUCAUUGGUGUUGGAGGCAAAGAUAACAGUUUGAUGUACCUUUCGAAGCAUACGGAUGUAAUUUCUCCCUCAAAUGGCACUGGAGCAUCUUCCUCUACAGUCUGUAAACUUGUCUAGAAAAUGGAAGUACUAAUUGAAGAGUGAUCAUUGAAAGUACAAACUGAAGUCAUGCUGUUACCUUGAAUGCUGUGCUGGGGGUAGAAUUGUACGACCGUUGGCCGUUGAAGUCGUUGGUUGGUCGUACUGCGUAUACUUCAUAAAGUCCUGGGAUAAUGUCGUCAUCAGACUUUUGCCCCCACAGUGUGAGGAGAGCAGUCCUACCCUCACACUGUAGGGUGCACUGACGCCUCUUGGAGAAAUUGGAAAUUAAUUGUUCUCCAACCUACAAAAAGAAUGAAGAGUUGUGAAGAAGGAUGAAUUUGUUCAAGAAACUUUUCCUUGAUUUAGACGGCCAUUACUAAUUUCAAAAUGAAUGCUGAAUAAUUCGAAGCUGUAAUGAGAAAGCACAAGGAUAAUGUGGGUAAAGCUUUGAUGUUUGUUACAUACUUCAGUGACCUCCACUGGCCCUAUGGAGAUUCUCUUCCCAUUCUCCACGGCAGAUGACUCUUUGAGGUCCAGGAGUGUUGGUUUGUAAAAGGCCUCUUGCACCUGCCUUUGGUUCUGUGUCAGAAAGGCUCCUGUCUGCAUCACCUGCAUAACAAUUUAUAAUGGAUAAAAGUUCAUACCCAUACUGGUUAUGCGUGGUCGACAGGAGUUUGUAACUUGAUCCCGGCACCAGUCGGUUUUUAAAGUCCUCCUUGAAGGUACUAAUGGUGUGUGGUUGGCAGUCCUGAUCAACAAGGCCAGAAAACAAAAACUUUGUAGUCUUCCCCGUCGCCGAGUACCUGGACGUGAUUGCCCUGGUCUCGGGUCCUUCCAGUAUGAAGCACUUCACAUUCUGGUAUAAAAAAUGUUUGAAGAAAUUGUUUUCUUUGUUUCAAUUAUUUAAAAAAAAAAAAUUAAACAAAUUAAAUCUCA
Magallana angulata is the source of this 1666-nucleotide long non-coding RNA. RefSeq lists it as uncharacterized. Lineage: Eukaryota; Metazoa; Mollusca; Bivalvia; Ostreida; Ostreidae. The record is from RefSeq and is a predicted model, not a curated record. The transcript has 7 exons.